RNAcentral lists this ribosomal RNA (571 nucleotides) under uncultured archaeon. RNAcentral describes it as "bacterial SSU rRNA". It matches the Rfam family "Archaeal small subunit ribosomal RNA", at positions 326 to 902 of the family's 1478-position model. The record is from RNAcentral.
CGGGGUGCAGCAGGCGCGAAAACUUUACAAUGCCGGCAACGGCGAUAAGGGAACCUCGAGUGCCAGGUUACAAAUCUGGCUGUCGUGAUGCCUAAAAAGCAUUGCAUAGCAAGGGCCGGGCAAGACCGGUGCCAGCCGCCGCGGUAACACCGGCGGCUCGAGUGGUAACCGUUAUUAUUGGGUCUAAAGGGUCUGUAGCCGGCCGGGUAAGUCUCUUGGGAAAUCUGGCAGCUUAACUGUCAGGCUUUCAGGAGAUACUGCCUGGCUCGAGGCCGGGAGAGGUGAGAGGUACUUCAGGGGUAGGGGUGAAAUCUUGUAAUCCUUGAAGGACCACCAGUGGCGAAGGCGUCUCACCAGAACGGACCUGACGGCAAGGGACGAAAGCUAGGGGCACGAACCGGAUUAGAUACCCGGGUAGUCCUAGCCGUAAACGAUACUCGCUAGGUGUCGGCCACGGUGCGACCGUGGUCGGUGCCGUAGGGAAGCCGUGAAGCGAGCCACCUGGGAAGUACGGCCGCAAGGCUGAAACUUAAAGGAAUUGGCGGGGGAGCACAAGGGCGAAUUCGCGGCC